CUACGGGUGGCUGCAGUGGGGAAUAUUGGACAAUGGGGGAAACCCUGAUCCAGCAAUGCCGCGUGUGUGAAGAAGGCCUGCGGGUUGUAAAGCACUUUCGGUUGGGAGGACUGCUUCUAGCACUAAUAUUGUUGGAAGUUGACGUUACCCUCAGAAGAAGCACCGGCUAACUCCGUGCCAGCAGCCGCGGGUAAUACGGAGGGUGCAAGCGUUAAUCGGAAUUACUGGGCGUAAAGCGCGCGUAGGCGGCUAGAUCAGUCGGGUGUGAAAGCCCCGGGCUUAACCUGGGAACUGCAUCCGAUACUGUCUAGCUUGAGUACAGGAGAGGAGAGUGGAAUUCCACAUGUAGCGGUGAAAUGCGUAGAUAUGUGGAGGAACACCAAUGGCGAAGGCAGCUCUCUGGCCUGAUACUGACGCUGAGGUGCGAAAGCGUGGGGAGCAAACAGGAUUAGAUACCCGCGUAGUC
Molecule: ribosomal RNA, 466 nt
Filed under: uncultured bacterium
Lineage: Bacteria
Description: partial 16S ribosomal RNA
Rfam family: Bacterial small subunit ribosomal RNA
Source: RNAcentral